RNAcentral lists this ribosomal RNA (1494 nucleotides) under uncultured organism. Its description in RNAcentral is "SSU rRNA". It matches the Rfam family "Bacterial small subunit ribosomal RNA". The record is from RNAcentral.
GAUGAACGCUGGCGGCGUGCCUAAUACAUGCAAGUCGAACGAGUUCUGAUUAUUGAAAGGUGCUUGCAUCUUGAUUUAAUUUUGAACGAGUGGCGGACGGGUGAGUAACACGUGGGUAACCUGCCCUUAAGUGGGGGAUAACAUUUGGAAACAGAUGCUAAUACCGCAUAAAUCCAAGAACCGCAUGGUUCUUGGCUGAAAGAUGGCGUAAGCUAUCGCUUUUGGAUGGACCCGCGGCGUAUUAGCUAGUUGGUGAGGUAACGGCUCACCAAGGCAAUGAUACGUAGCCGAACUGAGAGGUUGAUCGGCCACAUUGGGACUGAGACACGGCCCAAACUCCUACGGGAGGCAGCAGUAGGGAAUCUUCCACAAUGGACGCAAGUCUGAUGGAGCAACGCCGCGUGAGUGAAGAAGGCUUUCGGGUCGUAAAACUCUGUUGUUGGAGAAGAAUGGUCGGCAGAGUAACUGUUGUCGGCGUGACGGUAUCCAACCAGAAAGCCACGGCUAACUACGUGCCAGCAGCCGCGGUAAUACGUAGGUGGCAAGCGUUAUCCGGAUUUAUUGGGCGUAAAGCGAGCGCAGGCGGUUUUUUAAGUCUGAUGUGAAAGCCCUCGGCUUAACCGAGGAAGUGCAUCGGAAACUGGGAAACUUGAGUGCAGAAGAGGACAGUGGAACUCCAUGUGUAGCGGUGAAAUGCGUAGAUAUAUGGAAGAACACCAGUGGCGAAGGCGGCUGUCUGGUCUGUAACUGACGCUGAGGCUCGAAAGCAUGGGUAGCGAACAGGAUUAGAUACCCUGGUAGUCCAUGCCGUAAACGAUGAAUGCUAGGUGUUGGAGGGUUUCCGCCCUUCAGUGCCGCAGCUAACGCAUUAAGCAUUCCGCCUGGGGAGUACGACCGCAAGGUUGAAACUCAAAGGAAUUGACGGGGGCCCGCACAAGCGGUGGAGCAUGUGGUUUAAUUCGAAGCAACGCGAAGAACCUUACCAGGUCUUGACAUCUUUUGAUCACCUGAGAGAUCAGGUUUCCCCUUCGGGGGCAAAAUGACAGGUGGUGCAUGGUUGUCGUCAGCUCGUGUCGUGAGAUGUUGGGUUAAGUCCCGCAACGAGCGCAACCCUUAUGACUAGUUGCCAGCAUUUAGUUGGGCACUCUAGUAAGACUGCCGGUGACAAACCGGAGGAAGGUGGGGAUGACGUCAAAUCAUCAUGCCCCUUAUGACCUGGGCUACACACGUGCUACAAUGGAUGGUACAACGAGUUGCGAGACCGCGAGGUCAAGCUAAUCUCUUAAAGCCAUUCUCAGUUCGGACUGUAGGCUGCAACUCGCCUACACGAAGUCGGAAUCGCUAGUAAUCGCGGAUCAGCACGCCGCGGUGAAUACGUUCCCGGGCCUUGUACACACCGCCCGUCACACCAUGAGAGUUUGUAACACCCGAAGCCGGUGGCGUAACCCUUUUAGGGAGCGAGCCGUCUAAGGUGGGACAAAUGAUUAGGGUGAA